CGUGUAGGCGGUGCGGUAAGUUGGGCGUGAAAUCCCCGAGCUUAACUCGGGUGGGCCGUUCAAGACUGCCGUGCUAGGGUGCGGGAGAGGGAAGUGGAAUUUCCGGUGUAGCGGUGAAAUGCGUAGAUAUCGGGAGGAACACCUGCGGCGAAGGCGGCUUCCUGGACCGUAACCGACGCUGAGGCGCGAAAGCUAGGGGAGCAAACAGGAUUAGAUACCCUGGUAGUCCUAGCCCUAAACGAUGAGCACUGGGUGUGGCCCUCACGAGGCCGUGCCGAAGCUAACGCAUUAAGUGCUCCGCCUGGGGAGUACGGUCGCAAGGCUGAA
This 327-nucleotide ribosomal RNA is filed under the name uncultured bacterium. RNAcentral describes it as "bacterial SSU rRNA". It matches the Rfam family "Bacterial small subunit ribosomal RNA", at positions 568 to 898 of the family's 1533-position model. The record is from RNAcentral.